Molecule: ribosomal RNA, 833 nt
Filed under: Pterygosoma pallidum
Lineage: Eukaryota; Metazoa; Arthropoda; Arachnida; Trombidiformes; Pterygosomatidae
Description: eukaryotic LSU rRNA
Rfam family: Eukaryotic large subunit ribosomal RNA
Source: RNAcentral
UGAUUUCCUUAGUACGGCGAGUGAAAGGAAUUGUCCAUCGCAAAGGUAGCACAACAUUUAACGCUGUUGUACUACGGUGCUGCGUAUAAUUCACUAGAGUAUAUCUAGCACAGUGAGUGAAGUGUUUGCAAAUCCUAUUGAAUGGGGUACUUUUUUUCCAUAGUUGGUGCAAGACCAAUAGCGAACAUUAACAUUCUCACUGUGUUUUACUCUAUAGUGAAACAGAGUUAGUUUGCUUGAGAGUGCAAACUGAAGUAGAAGGUAAACUUCUUCUAAGACUAAAUACGAUGGUAAUACCGAUAGCAAACAAGUACCGUGAGGGAAAGUUGCAAAGAACUUUGAAGAGAGAGUUCAAAAGGACGUGAAACUGUUCUCAGGGAAACGGUUAGAACCACGAAGUGUAACUUGGUUUAAGAAUUCAAUUUCUUUUGUUAAAUGUAAUUUAAAUACUGUAUCUACAGCAUAUUAUAUGAUUGUGGUAUACGGUGUUUGAAGAAUAAUACAUUCAAUAGAGAUGCAUUUUCUUGUAACCAUUGUUUGAACCUCGACUUAUGGGAGGGCUUAUUAUAGACAAAACUAUAAUAAUUACAUGUAUUGGUCUAUAUUGACUUGUAGUAUACUGAUAAAGCAGUAUACUAUAAUGCCAAUUAAUCGCUAUUUCACAAGUGAAACACUUUAAUAUCAUUCAUCUGAUAUUAUAUGUGUGUAAUUGUGCUAAUAGUGAUACAUCAAUACUCAUAUACUCCUAUAAGGUAAUAAAACUCUAAUUCUUAACGAAAGAGUCAUAACAGUACUAAUUGAAUCUGUGUCAGUAUAGCUUAAUAUAAAUGUAG